CGUAGGUGGCAAGCGUCGUCCGGAUUUAUUGGGUUUAAAGGGUGCGUAGGCGGUCUAUUAAGUCAGUGCUGAAAUACUCCAGCUUAACUGGAGGGGUGGCAUUGAUACUGAUGGACUUGAGUACAGAUGAGGUAGGCGGAAUUGACGGUGUAGCGGUGAAAUGCAUAGAUAUCGUCAAGAACACCGAUAGCGAAGGCAGCUUACUGGGCUGUAACUGACGCUGAUGCACGAAAGUGUGGGGAUCAAACAGGAUUAGAUACCCUGGUAGUCCACACUGUAAACGUUGAUUACUCGCUGUUUGCGAUACACAGCAAGCGGCUUAGCGAAAGCGAUAAGUAAUCCACCUGGGGAGUACGCCGGCAACGGUG
RNAcentral lists this ribosomal RNA (368 nucleotides) under uncultured organism. Its description in RNAcentral is "bacterial SSU rRNA". It matches the Rfam family "Bacterial small subunit ribosomal RNA", at positions 526 to 896 of the family's 1533-position model. The record is from RNAcentral.